This is a long non-coding RNA of Camelus dromedarius (Arabian camel), 3248 nucleotides long. RefSeq lists it as uncharacterized. Lineage: Eukaryota; Metazoa; Chordata; Mammalia; Artiodactyla; Camelidae. The transcript has 4 exons. The record is from RefSeq and is a predicted model, not a curated record.
CGCAACGGGCCUGUCCUCCAGCCUCGGCCCAGCUCCUCCUUCGCGAACACUCCUUUCCGCCGACUUCCUGGGGAAGAGCCUCAUUGUGCCAUAAAAUUCCUAAGCUCUAUUGAGUGAAAUUCCUAGCCCAUACUUCUUUGUUUCACGUCACACUGAGAAUUCUGAGGAUGCUGGAAGCAUAUGGAUGAGGAUGUAACAGCUAUAAAGACUCACAAAAUGUGUACUAGUACUUCCAGAAGAGUUCCAUCUAAACAGCCCCCUCCCCUACCCCACUUCCUCUGGGAGAAGCUGGCUGUAGCCCUGGGCUGUAGGAUGGCAUAAAAGAAAGAUCUGCCACCCAAGCACCUCUGCCUAUGACAUACUGAUAAAGCAGAGGCUGUGUCUCAUCUGAGCACCUGAUAUCUUAGACAGCCACCAUUCUUAGGCUUCAUCUAGUAUUUUCCUCCACCUACCCCACUCCCCAUUUUACAAUUAGUAUUACUAUGGAGAAACCUCUUGCUCUGCUGAUACGAAUGCCAGAACUGUUUCUAAGCCAAGGCAGAAGCAUCCAACGGGCUGGAGAAAGAGAGGGCAUGAGGGAAAAAAGGAACAUGAGGAGCCCUCUGGCAACUGAGUAGGGCCCUUGGCCUAUGGAGACAUCCCAACUGUUUAUGCUGGAGCAAUGUCAACUCUGAAAUGGAACAGCAAUAUCAGUUCCACAAGGGCAAGAGGCUGGCCUGAACAUGCCCAUGCAGAGAACCAGGCAGGGGCUGCCUCAGAGGAUCCUGAGCAAGUGAUUAGCCACAACAUCAAGACUGAUGUAAUGAUGGGGAAAACGCUGGCCAAGAAAGACGACGGAAUUUCCAAAAGGUAAAUUUCUGUGUAUUCACGCCUAAUCUUCAAAGUUGUGUAAACAGUUUUUUCUACCUUUCCCCAUCAUUUGCACAAUUUUUGUCAAGUCCAAACGUAAUUUAAAAUGAGGUAGGUAGUUUCUCUCUACUCGUGCCUUCAUCUCUGUGGUGACUGUCGAGGGCUAGGCCGUGAAAGCACUAGUGUCCACGCAGGGGGAGCGCCAAGGGCGGGCACCACUGCAGCUUCUCAAUUGGCUAUUUUCUCAAUCUCGUCCAAAUCAUCCGUAUCCAGUCUUUCUAUUUUCUUAUCUGGGGGAGAAAUGGAAUUCAAAGAGAGAUCAACAUGGGGUUACACAGAGACAAGCACCAGGGAAGGGGCCACACAGCAGGGAGAGAGGAAACUCAGGUCUCCGCCCCCUAGGAACUUCUGUGCCUCUGGCCACAGGGAUCCUUCACGGAACCCCAGAGGCUUCCAGUGACUGAGCGAGGGACACUGACAACAGUCAGAGCACUGGGCCCCUCAGCCUGGCCAAGGGGGACUGUCAUUCAAGUCCCUGAGCCCCAAACUCUCCAGGUGUGCUCUUUGUGAACUUCUGCGUUGUAGGGAAGGAGGAGAAUGGGACGGAAACAAAGGCCUCUCUCAGGGACACAGGAAAACCUCCCCUCCCCCCUGACUCGCCCCUGUAAGGCAAGGGCGGGGCAGGGACCCUCCAGGGGACUCACUGAAGUGCUCCUGGAUUCUGUUCAGGAUGUUCAUGCUGUGCUUGCUGUCCACCAUGUUCACUGCCAGGCCCCUCUUGCCAAAGCGGCCGGUGCGCCCGAUCCGGUGCAGGUAGGUCUCAUUGUCCGGGUUCCCAUCCUUGUCCACGGGGAGGUCAAAGUUGAUGACGACAGACACCUGUUCAACGUCGAUGCCUGCAGGGAGGAGAGGUGGAGAGGAGUAAGGCGGGACGUAACUCACUGUCACCCACACUCGGGCCUGCACACACCAACCUCAGGUGGAAGAAGAGUCUGGGACGGGCCAGCUCUGGGAUUUGGACAGAGGGGCAGGUGGCAGAACCCAGACGGGAAAAACAGAACUUUCACAGAUGCUGGCCAAAUUACAAGAUCAGUCAAAGCCUCUGCUGGGUACAAGUAUGUGGAGAAGCAGCUAAAGCCUCACUGGGGACCCCAAGAAGAGCAGGCACCGUUCUAAACCACCAAAUCAAGACUCCUGGUUUCUGUGAAAGUUCUCAUCUGCUGAGGGAAUCUAAACAGGCUCUCCUAGCAAACAGUGUCGCCACCAAGCGCACCUGCUCUACCCCACACCACCAGAGUGUCCCCCACACGAGGAUUUCUCUUGCUCCCCUGAGCCUAGCAUACUGAGGUACGUUCUGUGCUCACCGCGGGCACACACAUUGGUGGUGACCAGAACCUUCUCUUUGCCCUCUCGGAAGCGCUCAAUCACGGCAGCCCUCUGCUCCACCACCAUCUCACCGCUCAGCAGAGCCACCUGGUGGCCUUCUUUUGAGAGCUCUGCUGCCAGCCAGCUAGCUGUUUUACGGGUCUGGAGUGAAAAGAAUUGUUUUAAAUGAAGAUACCUGUAAAAAAAAAAAUGAAGACCCCUGCAGAAAAGUGGCUUAUUGCCAUUAACAUGCAUAAAGGCUCAGCUGAGUUCAGUCAGGAGAUCAGGCUUAAAUUUUCUCUAUUUUUUAGCCACGAUUUUUCUAGCAUGAAUAACUCAAUGAUCUUAGUGUUCAUCUAGGAAGACUGUGGUUUGAGCCAAAUGUUUUCUUUCCUAAAUACUCUAUAGUCUUAAUACUUUAAUUUGGGGGGUGGUGGUAAUUAGGUUUAUUUAUUUUUGGAGGAGGUACUGGGGAUUGAACUCAGGACCUAAUGCAUGCUAAGCAUGCGCUCUACCACUUGAGCUAUACCUUCCGCCCUAUAGUCUUAAUACUUUAAAAUUAUUUCCUUAGAUGUUACUUGGAGUUUUUUCCAAGUUAUCUCUAACAAGUGGGAUCAAAGAAGGUUUAGCUCUUGCAGUCUUCAUCUUACAACUCAUUACAAUCUGAGAGAAUCUGUCCUGGGCCAGAUGUAGGGGAUUCAUUUCCUUUCCAGCUGUGUGGAGGGAACCUGGCCCCAGCACUAAGGUGGAGCUGACUGAGAGGGAGGGGUGGGGCCACACCCUCCAGGGAGCUCCUCCCCCACAGGCCGCCUCCUCCUCCUCCCCCUGCUCCCCCUGCUCCUGCUGCUGCUGCUACUCACAUGACAGAAGAUCAUCGCUUGAGCGAUGGUGAUGGCCCCAUACAGGUUGCACAGGGCCUGGAACUUCUCGUCUCUGUUAUUGCACAGGACGUAAUACUGCUUGAUGGUGUCCAACGUCUCCUCCUCGCGCUUCAGUUUGAUGAUAUUUGGGUCUGGAACCACUUUCUGGGCAAA